UGAUACAGUAUGUAUGUAGAUAGGGGACAGUGAUACAGUGAUACAGUAUGUAUGUAGAUAGGGGACAGUGAUACAGUAUGUGUGUAGAUAGGGGACAGUGAUACAGUAUGUAUGUAGAUAGGGGACAGUGAUACAGUGAUACAGUAUAUAUGUAGAUAUUGGACAGUGAUACAGUGAUACAGUAUGUAUGUAGAUAGGGGACAGUGAUACAGUAUGUAUGUAGAUAGGGGACAAUGAUACAGUGUGUAUGUAGAUAGGGGACAGUGAUACAGUGUGUAUGUAGAUAGGGGACAAUGAUACAGUGUGUAUGUAGAUAGGGGACAGUGAUACAGUAUGUAUGUAGAUAGGGGACAGUGAUACAGUAUGUAUGUAGAUAGGGGACAGUGAUACAGUGAUACAGUAAGUAUGUAGAUAGGGGACAGUGAUACAGUAAGUAUGUAGAUAGGGGACAGUGAUACAGUAUGUAUGUAGAUAGGGGACAGUGAUACAGUAUGUAUGUAGAUAGGGGACAGUGAUACAGUAUGUAUGUAGAUAGGGGACAGUGAUACAGUGAUACAGUAUGUAUGUAGAUAGGGGACAGAGAUACAGUAUGUAUGUAGAUAGGGGACAGUGAUACAGUAUGUAUGUAUGUAGAUAGGGGACAGUGAUACAGUAUGUAUGUAGAUAGGGGACAGUGAUACAGUGAUACAGUAUGUAUGUAGAUAGGGGACAGAGAUACAGUAUGUAUGUAGAUAGGGGACAGUGAUACAGUAUGUAUGUAUGUAGAUAGGGGACAGUGAUACAGUAUGUGUGUAGAUAGGGGACAGUGAUACAGUGAUACAGUAUGUAUAUAGGGGACAGUGAUACAGUAUGUAUGUAGAUAGGGGACAGCUAUACAGUAUGUAUGUAGAUAGGGGACAGUGAUACAGUAUGUAUGUAGAUCUGGGACAGUGAUACAGUGACACAGUAUGUAUGUAGAUAGGGGACAGUGAUACAGUAUGUAUGUAGAUAGGGGACAGUGAUACAGUAUGUAUGUAGAUAGGGGAC
This is a long non-coding RNA of Oncorhynchus tshawytscha (Chinook salmon), 1026 nucleotides long. The record is from Ensembl. NCBI's taxonomy places the organism in Eukaryota, Metazoa, Chordata, Actinopteri, Salmoniformes, Salmonidae.